Molecule: long non-coding RNA, 1939 nt
Organism: Neofelis nebulosa (Clouded leopard)
Lineage: Eukaryota; Metazoa; Chordata; Mammalia; Carnivora; Felidae
Exons: 3
Source: RefSeq, a predicted model, not a curated record
ACAUGUGGACGCAGUCAGAAGAACUCACUAACAAGUUUUAAGUAGAGGAGUGAUGUGAUAUGAUUUGUCUUCUGAAAGGCUGGCUCUGCCCGCAGGUAUCAGCCAGAUGGGACAGGAUCAGACUGGAUGUGGCAAAAUCAGUGAGAUCGCUUGCACGACGUGGUGGCUCCAGUGACAAUGGGAGAAGUUGACGGGCAGAUCUGACACAUUUGAUACUUAGGAGGAAUACAGCUUGGCAAAAACACAUCCAAGGACACCACGUGUGAUUUCCUCCACGCUGAUUUUGGAAGCUGGAAUGUUUCUGCAUACGCGCAUCAGCAACAUCUAAGCCAACACUCCUCUGGGCCUGUUUCAAACAGCACAUUGAUAUGCCCUGAACUCUUCUCCGAGUGACCAAGGGCCCGCGUCCGUCCACCGCACUGUGAACAGCAGCGGGAAAGCCCUCGAGAACACAGAGGAAAUAGAUGCCAUGUUGUUUGGAAAUAUUUACAUUGGGAAGCCAUCACAUACGCAGAUUUUUUUUUUUUUUUCAUUUAAAGCCGUGUUUUUGCCCUUUAUCCAUAUUUUGGCUACGUUUGUUUUGUUUGGAUAGUGAAAGCAUGUGUCAUUGUCAGCUGUUGUUGUUUUAAAUGUCUUUUGGCUUUCUGCAACAGCAAUGUCAAUUACAACAGAAUUAAAGAUGAGGUCUAAGGAAACAGUAAUUUUUGUGUUUGCCGCGCAGAACAUUUAUAAAAAUUACUUUUACAGCAGCAUUAGUAAAAACUGGAGCAAAAAUACUAAAAAUAGAUGAAGAAAAAAAAUACAAAGAACCUGGAAAAAAGAAAAGCAUUUCUGUUAAAUAUUUAUUGUUAUUUCGAGAGAGCUUAGGCAUACGUGUUUUUUUUUUCUCACGUGGAUGUCAUAUUCAUAUUGCUCCUGUUUUAGUCUUAACUGUAUUCUUUAUGGUUGUCUUUUCUGCUUAAAUGCAGAGUUGUUCAGAUUGUUAUUUCUGUGUAAGAUGUUACCCAAUGGGGAGGGUUGAGAAAAAAUAAAAUGGUUUUCUUCAGCCAUUUAAUAUCGGGACUAUAAAUGACCUCUUCUACUUGUUCACUAAUAAACAGAAUGGUGAGGAUCCCAAGAAAAACAAAAUAAUCUGCUUGGUGAUCUUGGGGUACCCAUCACGAAGGUCGAUAUUUGUAGACGUGUCCUCCAGGCAUCAUCAUGAUCAUGUAUUUCAGGCAUGUUUCCUCACCACGACUCAAUGUAAUUGUUGACUUUCAGAGAGAUUUUCUUCAGACAACGGGGGUAUGUUGGUGGCAGACACAAAGCUGGAACUUACUGACCCUAGGAGCUUUGAGAACAUUCUGCAAUUUACUGGCCACAGCACAGAAUUUUUUCUUCAGUACUACUUGGCUGACCGGAGUUCAAUGUCUCCUCUAGCUGAGUUCCAAAUGCUUUUCAAAGUAGUGGGAAGGUUAUACCUCUGAGCACAGUCAAGAUAUUUAAGGUGAAACUUGUGUUUAUGUGUUGUUCGUAUUUGUACAUAUGUGUAUAUGAGCGUGCAUAUGUGUUUAUGUACAUGAGUGUUUGUGUUAAGAAGAGGUUGAAGAAUUCCUUCUAGAAUGCAAAUAUUUUUUAUUUAACAUUACUUCUCAACAGAAUAAUGGAAUGAUUCAUUUUAAGUACUCAUAAGAGGAGAAUGUGUUUGCAUAUAUAGACUAUGCAAAAAUAUAUGUAGGAGACUAUAAUAAAAUGCAUUUAAAGAAAUUUUUUAAUGCUUUAUUUUUGAGACAGAGAGGGAUAGAGCAUGAACAGGGAAGGGGCAGAGAGAGAGGGAGACACAAACUCCAAUGCAGGCUCCAGGCUCUGAGCUGUCUGCACAGAGCCUGACGCAGGGGCUCGACGCAGGGCUCGAACUCAGGAACCGCGAGAUCGUGACCUGAGCCAAAGUCGGACGCUU